RNAcentral lists this long non-coding RNA (1488 nucleotides) under Carassius auratus (goldfish). Its description in RNAcentral is "lncRNA (ENSCARG00000023744.1)". Lineage: Eukaryota; Metazoa; Chordata; Actinopteri; Cypriniformes; Cyprinidae. The record is from RNAcentral.
GAUUAGAAAGAUUAUAUAUUUUCAAAUUCCUCUUUUUGUAAUUGUACAUAUCACUGUUGGUUAAUUUGAGGUGGUCCAAGUUACAGUAUGAGGUAAAAUUAUGUUGAUCCAUUUUAACUUAGUUGUUAAUAUUGGUCACUAAAACACAUAAAUGUAAAUUUUCUUGAUCCAAUAAAGAAACGGGUUUGUAACUUAUUAUUAAUAUUUUCUACUUUUCAGGACGGGAACAGCAACAAAAGUUUAACUUCUGAUUCGUAAUCCACACGCUCUACUGGUAACACUGCUGACACCUAGUGAUUAGUUUUAGUAACAUUACUGAUAAAUACAAAUACAUUCUGUUACUAACAAUAAUGUCUUGUGUGAAGUGUUCAUUCUGUAUUAAAACAGUCUUUGUUUAAAAUAAUCUUUAAAACUACGCUUUGAAAUGAUUCUGGCAGUAUGUUUUUGAAAAUCUGUUCACCAAAAAGGUAAAAAUUGGCAUUGUGAAGUUAUAUUUAUAAUAAUCGUUUAUAUUUAUAUUUGUGUUUCAGGGCAGUUGGUGAAGACAGAGAGAUGUUGUGACGUCCAGGACAGUUCCUCCUUCAACACCAGACUCUGCUGGCACCUAUUUUUCAAGGACACCCUCAGAAUUACAACAAAUUUUAAGGCUUAAAAUUAUUGUGGUUUGGAGUAUAAUGAACAUAAUAUGAAUGUUUCAUAAAUUAUUUUGUGGAUUUUCUGAACCCUUAAUAACUGUUAUUUUUUCUUAUUUUGAGCAAAUUUGAGUCGUGACAUGUCAAAGGAGAACAAAAGCUGUGAACAGAAGAAGGGUCAGAUGUGUGUGUUCUGCGAAGUCCUGCAAACAUACUGGCAAAAUGAGAGUCAUCGAGGAACCAGCUUGUUCUUGAAACAUUGGACGGUACAGAAAGUGCACAAGUGGGAGAGAGUGGAGGGGACGGCGUCAGAAAGGACCUAGCGCUGGGACACUUUCAAGGAUCACCCGAACCACAACCACACUGUAUACACGAGGCUGCUGGUUCUAACAUUUUAGAGUCCCCUUUGGUAGAAAUCACAUUUUGGAGGAUCUGUCCAGAUCUUUCACCAUAGAAAACAUUUGGCGCAUCAUAAAGAGGAAGAUGUGACAAAGAAGACCGAAGACAGUUGAGCAGCUAGAAGCCUGUAUUAGACAAGAAUGGAACAACAUUCCUAUUCCUAAACUUGAGCAACUUGUCUCCUCAGUCCCCAGACGUUUGCAGACUGUUAUAAAAAGAAGAGCGGAUGCCACACAGUGGUAAACAUGGUCUUGUCCCAACUUUGAGAUGUGUUGAUGCCAUGAAAUUUAAAAUUAACUUAUUUUUCCCUUAAAAUGAUACAUUUUCUCAGUUUAAACAUUUGAUAUGUCAUCUAUGUUGUAUUCUGAAUAAAAUAUUGAAAUUUGAAACUUCCACAUCAUUGCAUUCUGUUUUUAUUCAGAAUUUGUACAGUGUCCAAACUUUUUUGGAAUUGGGU